UACGUAGGGUGCAAGCGUUGUCCGGAAUUAUUGGGCGUAAAGAGCUUGUAGGCGGUUUGUCGCGUCUGCUGUGAAAUUUCGGGGCUCAACCCCGAACUUGCAGUGGGUACGGGCAGACUAGAGUGUGGUAGGGGAGACUGGAAUUCCUGGUGUAGCGGUGAAAUGCGCAGAUAUCAGGAGGAACACCGAUGGCGAAGGCAGGUCUCUGGGCCGAUACUGACGCUGAGGAGCGAAAGCGUGGGGGAGCGAACAGG
Molecule: ribosomal RNA, 254 nt
Filed under: uncultured bacterium
Lineage: Bacteria
Description: partial 16S ribosomal RNA
Rfam family: Bacterial small subunit ribosomal RNA
Source: RNAcentral